This 405-nucleotide ribosomal RNA is filed under the name uncultured bacterium. RNAcentral's name for it is "partial 16S ribosomal RNA". It matches the Rfam family "Bacterial small subunit ribosomal RNA", at positions 30 to 526 of the family's 1533-position model. The record is from RNAcentral.
AUUGAACGCUGCGGCAGGCUUAACACAUGCAAGUUGAGCGAGCGGCGGACGGGUGAGUAAUGCUUAGGAAUCUGCCUAUUAGUGGGGGACAACAUCCCGAAAGGGAUGAUAAUCCCGCAUACUAAUAGAUGAGAAUACGUCGGAUUAGGUAGUUGGUGGGGUAAAGGCCUACCAAGGCGACGAUCUGUAGCGGGUCUGAGAGGAUGAGCCGCCACACUGGGACUGAGACACGGCCCAGAAGCCUACGGGAGGAAGCAUGGGGGAAUAUUGGACAAUGGGGGGAACCCUGAUCCAGCCAUGCCGCGUGUGUGAAGAAGGCCUUAUGGUUGUAAAGCACUUUAAGCGAGGAGGCGUUACUCGCAGAAUAAGCACCGGCUAACUCUGUGCCAGCAGCCGCGGUAAUUC